This 484-nucleotide ribosomal RNA is filed under the name uncultured bacterium. RNAcentral describes it as "bacterial SSU rRNA". It matches the Rfam family "Bacterial small subunit ribosomal RNA", at positions 28 to 507 of the family's 1533-position model. The record is from RNAcentral.
GACGAACGCUGGCGGCGCGCCUAACACAUGCAAGUCGAACGGAGAUUACAGGCGGAAGUUUUCGGAUGGAAGCUUGUAAACUUAGUGGCGGACGGGUGAGUAACACGUGAGCAACCUGCCUAUCAGAGGGGGAUAACGAUUGGAAACGAUCGCUAAUACCGCAUGACAUAGCGGAAUCGCAUGGUUCUGCUAUCAAAGAUUUUAUCGCUGAUAGAUGGGCUCGCGUCCGAUUAGAUAGUUGGUGGGGUAACGGCCUACCAAGUCGACGAUCGGUAGCCGGACUGAGAGGUCGAACGGCCACAUUGGGACUGAGACACGGCCCAGACUCCUACGGGAGGCAGCAGUGGGGGAUAUUGCACAAUGGGGGGAAACCCUGAUGCAGCGACGCCGCGUGAGGGAAGACGGGUCCUCUAGAUUGUAAACCUCUGUCUUCGGGGGACAAACGAGACGGUACCCGAGGAGGAAGCCAACGGCUAACUACGUG